This 497-nucleotide ribosomal RNA is filed under the name uncultured bacterium. RNAcentral describes it as "partial 16S ribosomal RNA". It matches the Rfam family "Bacterial small subunit ribosomal RNA", at positions 28 to 507 of the family's 1533-position model. The record is from RNAcentral.
GAUGAACGCUGGCGGCGUGCCUAAUACAUGCAAGUCGAGCGAAAAGAUGCGGCGCUUGCUCCUCUGUCGUUAGCCGCGCAGGUGUGAGUCACACGUGUAACCCCUCCCUAUCUUACUGGGAUCACUUCGGAACUCCGGCGCAUAUACCGGAUAAUCUCUUGCUCCGCAUGGGUCAUUAGUGAAUGACGGCUUUUGUGUAUCUACUCGCGGCUUCCGAGCCGGUUGAGCUAGUUGGUACGGUAACGGCUUAUCAAGGCAACGAGGCGUGGCCGACCGGACUGGGUGAUCGGCGACCCUGGAAGGGAGACACGGUCCAGGCUCCUACGGGAGGCAGCAGUAGGGAAUCGUCCGCAGUGGGCGAAAGCCUGACGGAGCGACGCCGCGUGAGUGAUGAAGGUCUUCGGAUCGUAAAACUCUGUUAUUAGGGAAGAACAAAUGUGUAAGUAACUAUGCACGUCUUGACGGUACCGAGUCAGAAAGCCACGGCUAACUACGUG